AUCGCUUCUUGGCCUUUUGGCUAUGGUCAUGUGUAGUAUCUGUUCUUUUCAGAUUAAUAUCUCUGGCAAGUAAAGUUACUUACACUUCUUGAAUCCAGCAGCCUCCUUCAUACCUUUAGGCUUCUGAAUCUGUUUUUGCUAGGUCUACCCUCCCCAGCUCAGUGGCUUGGAGAGCAGAUGCUCU
Molecule: small nuclear RNA, 184 nt
Organism: Manis pentadactyla (Chinese pangolin)
Lineage: Eukaryota; Metazoa; Chordata; Mammalia; Pholidota; Manidae
Product: U2 spliceosomal RNA
Exons: 1
Source: RefSeq, a predicted model, not a curated record